Molecule: RNA transcript, 1509 nt
Organism: Xenopus tropicalis (tropical clawed frog)
Lineage: Eukaryota; Metazoa; Chordata; Amphibia; Anura; Pipidae
Gene: hnrnpd
Gene name: heterogeneous nuclear ribonucleoprotein D
Exons: 9
Source: RefSeq, marked provisional
GACGCCAUUAGUAGUAGAAGGCCGGGGGCGGAGUCGGCUACGGGAGCGAAGGGUUAGAAGGGAGAGGAAGCAGCUAUUAUUUCUUUCUCUCCGUGAUUCCAGUAGUAUACGUUCUACUUGUCCGACUUAUUGUUAUCAAAAACGUAAGCCAUGAUUUCUGAAGACGAUGAAGCCAUGAUGGAGGCUACUACUGCUGAGACAGAGGAGACUGGGCAAAACGAAGGGGUGAAGAUUGAUGCUAGUAAGACCGAAGAGGAUGAGGGGAAGAUGUUUAUAGGAGGCCUUAGCUGGGAUACUACAAAGAAAGACCUGAAAGAUUAUUUUUCAAAAUUUGGAGAGGUUGUAGACUGUACCUUGAAAUUGGACCCUAUCACUGGAAGAUCUCGUGGCUUUGGCUUUGUAUUGUUUAAGGAAUCUGAAGGCGUUGACAAGGUAAUGGAACAGAAGGAGCACAAGCUGAAUGGUAAAGUUAUAGACCCAAAGAGGGCAAAGGCAAUGAAGACAAAAGAGCCUGUCAAGAAGAUAUUUGUAGGGGGUUUAUCUCCAGACACACCUGAAGAGAAGAUAAGAGAGUAUUUUGGAACGUUCGGAGAGAUUGAAGCCAUAGAACUUCCAAUGGAUAACAAGACUAACAAAAGACGUGGAUUCUGCUUCAUCACAUUUAAGGAGGAAGACCCAGUAAAGAAGAUAAUGGAAAAGAAAUACCACAAUGUUGGCCUCAGUAAAUGUGAAAUUAAGGUGGCAUUGUCAAAGGAACAGUAUCAGCAGCAGCAGCAGUGGGGGACAAGGGGUGGAGGCUCAUCAUCUAGGCCCCGUGGAAGAGGAGGUGUAAGUCAGACCUGGAGCCAGGGAUAUAGUAACUACUGGAAUCCAAGCUACAGCAGUUAUGGAUACAACAACCAGGGGUAUGGAGGUUAUGGGAACUAUGACUACUCUGGUUACAACUACUAUGGCUAUGGAGACUAUAGUAAUCAGCAGAGUGGUUAUGGGAAAACAGCCAGACGAGGUGGUCAUCAAAAUAGUUACAAACCAUACUAAAUUAUUCAAUUCACAACGUGUCAUAAACAGCGGGGAAUUCAUUGCAGGCCCUGUGUCGCGCUGACUUCACGAUUCUCACAGGCCCGCUCAAUGCGGACAGGGUACGAGAUGCUCACGCUCUCGAAUGCUGCCGUUUGGUGAACAAGCAGUAUUUUCUGGGUUGAAGAAUGAUUUGAGGUGGCUCAUUCUGCAUGCAUAUAGCAGUGCAAAUUAUGUUUCUUCCCCCCCUCCCCCCCCCUUUUUUUUUUGUUUGUUUUUGCAAAACCCUUAAAAAGGGAUGUAGUGAAAAUUAUUUUAUAGGAUUCACCUAGCUGUCUUAUUUUCUAAUAGCUUUGCUUGUUUAAAAAUUGUGUUCACUUUAUUCACCAGCAUGGAAGAAGAAAUCUUGUGUUUAUGAACUUUGUAUGCCUGUGUCAUAAUGUAAGCUUUUUUCCCCUUUAAUAAAUAUUCCUUUAAAAUUUUUUAUAUAAA